AGUGAACGCUGGCGGUAGGCCUAACACAUGCAAGUCGAACGGCAGUACAGGAGAGCUUGCUCUCUGGGUGGCGAGUGGCGGACGGGUGAGGAAUACAUCGGAAUCUACUUUUUCGUGGGGGAUAACGUAGGGAAACUUACGCUAAUACCGCAUACGACCUACGGGUGAGAGCAGGGGACCUUCGGGCCUUGCGCGAUUGAAUGAGCCGAUGUCGGAUUAGCUAGUUGGCGGGGUAAAGGCCCACCAAGGCGACGAUCCGUAGCUGGUCUGAGAGGAUGAUAAGCCACACUGGAACUGAGACACGGUCCGUACUCCUACGGGGGGCAUCAUUGGGGAAUAUUGGACAAGGGGCGCGAGCCGGAUCCAGCCAUACCGCGUGGGUGAAGAAGGCCUUCGGGUUGUAAAGCCCUUUUGUUGGGAAAGAAAUCCAGCUGGCUAAUACCCGGUUGGGAUGACGGUACCCAAAGAAUAAGCACCGGCUAACUUCGUGCCAGCAGCCGCCGUAA
This 506-nucleotide ribosomal RNA is filed under the name uncultured bacterium. RNAcentral's name for it is "partial 16S ribosomal RNA". It matches the Rfam family "Bacterial small subunit ribosomal RNA", at positions 29 to 523 of the family's 1533-position model. The record is from RNAcentral.